CGCGACCCCAGGUCAGGCCGCUAA
RNAcentral lists this ribosomal RNA (24 nucleotides) under Juglans major. RNAcentral describes it as "partial 26S ribosomal RNA". The record is from RNAcentral. Lineage: Eukaryota; Viridiplantae; Streptophyta; Magnoliopsida; Fagales; Juglandaceae.